CGGGGUGAGUAACGCGUGAGGAACCUGCCUUGGAUGGGGAAUAACAGUUAGAAAUAGCUGCUAAUACCGCACAAUGCAACUAAGUCGCAUGGCUUUGGUUGCCAAAGAUUUAUCGCUCUAAGAUGGCCUCGCGUCUGAUUAGAUAGUUGGCGGGGUAACGGCCCACCAAGUCGACGAUCAGUAGCCGGACUGAGAGGUUGGCCGGCCACAUUGGGACUGAGACACGGCCCAGACUCCUACGGGAGGCAGCAG
This 252-nucleotide ribosomal RNA is filed under the name uncultured bacterium. Its description in RNAcentral is "partial 16S ribosomal RNA". It matches the Rfam family "Bacterial small subunit ribosomal RNA", at positions 100 to 354 of the family's 1533-position model. The record is from RNAcentral.